GAUGAACGCUGGCGGCGUGCCUAAUACAUGCAAGUCGAGCGAACAGACGAGGAGCUUGCUCCUCUGACGUUAGCGGCGGACGGGUGAGUAACACGUGGAUAACCUACCUAUAAGACUGGGAUAACUUCGGGAAACCGGAGCUAAUACCGGAUAAUAUAUUGAACCGCAUGGUUCAAUAGUGAAAGACGGUUUUGCUGUCACUUAUAGAUGGAUCCGCGCCGCAUUAGCUAGUUGGUAAGGUAACGGCUUACCAAGGCGACGAUGCGUAGCCGACCUGAGAGGGUGAUCGGCCACACUGGAACUGAGACACGGUCCAGACUCCUACGGGAGGCAGCAGUAGGGAAUCUUCCGCAAUGGGCAAAAACCUGACGGAGCAACGCCGCGUGAGUGAUGAAGGUCUUCGGAUCGUAAAACUCUGUUAUUAGGGAAGAACAAAUGUGUAAGUAACUAUGCACGUCUUGACGGUACCUAAUCAGAAAGCCACGGCUAACUACGUG
Molecule: ribosomal RNA, 497 nt
Filed under: uncultured bacterium
Lineage: Bacteria
Description: partial 16S ribosomal RNA
Rfam family: Bacterial small subunit ribosomal RNA
Source: RNAcentral